AUGGGAGCCCACCAGUCCCACAGCGGCCUCAUGCCAGCCCCAAAAUGGGGACCACCAGCCCCCACACCUGGAUCCAGCCCCUUUCCCCACUCCUGGCACCAGGGAAGCUGCUCCUGCCGGGAAAUCACAGCUGCAGCUGGCUGGGAUGUGGAACAUCCAUCCAAGACCUCCUGCAGCUCUGGGGUGUCCACUCCCAAACCUUCCCUGACCCCCAGACCCCCUCAGCCUCCUCCCGAAGGCCAGAGCAGAUGGGGGAGGCAACAGAAAGUUGGCAGAACCCCCAGGUCCUUGUGCAACAAUUCCAGUAUCCCGAUUUCCAGAGGUUUGCAGCACAGUGGGGACCUCAGGGGUCCUGGCAGGGGAAAUCAGAGUAAAACCCCCAGUAGAUGCUGGGAUUGGGGGAUCCCAUCCCCAGGAAAGUGCUGGGAGAGGGGGAUCCCACCCCUGGGAAGGGGAGGUGCCACCCUCCAGCCACCCUGGCUGGUACCACUGUGGCCACAGGGGAUAAUCCAGUGCCAGUCACUCACUGCACAGGGGUCUCCGAGGGGCCACUGGUCCUGGUUCCAUGGGGGAAAAGAUCCUGGAAACACCCUGGGCUGCUCUUUGCUGUGCAGGUUUUGGGGAUGGAAGCCACAGAGAGCUGAGGAUGGGAUCCAGGAAUGCUCCUGGCAGCUCCCAGUGUCCCCCAGCCUGGUGCCAGGCCUUGGCAUUGCCCACCUGCCGCUCCAGGAUGCCCUGCGGGGCGGGCAGGCCGAGGUGGGAGUGCUGGAAUCUGUGUGCCCGUGCUGGGUGACAUCCACCCAGGGCUCCUGGGAUAAGGACAUUCCCAAACUGAUGCUCAGGCCGGGUGGGAUGCUCAGCUCCUCUUCCAGGUUGGAAUGCCGGUGGCCGGUGACCUCCAGAGCCACCAGCACGGCUGAGAGGGAGCCGGAUCCCAGGAGCCGAGCCUGGCGUGGGAAAGCCGGGCUGGGAAAAGCCUCCUCAGAGAGCCACGGCUCCCCGGAGCGCUCCGUGAGAAAGGGGCGAUCUCAGGGUGGAAACCAAGGGCUGGAUCCUGAGAUCAUGGAUUUACAUCAUCCAGGGACUCAGCCCGCAAACAUCCUCCCAGGAUGA
This 1113-nucleotide long non-coding RNA is filed under the name Parus major (Great Tit). RNAcentral describes it as "lncRNA (ENSPMJG00000017768.1)". The record is from RNAcentral. Lineage: Eukaryota; Metazoa; Chordata; Aves; Passeriformes; Paridae.